This 36122-nucleotide long non-coding RNA is filed under the name Zea mays. RNAcentral's name for it is "long non-coding RNA (ZMAY_LNC005175)". The record is from RNAcentral. Lineage: Eukaryota; Viridiplantae; Streptophyta; Magnoliopsida; Poales; Poaceae.
CGACUCUGACUCGACCGGUCUUGGCAUGGGCGAUGGUAUGAGCGCGUCCAUCAGUCGGCUCUGCUCUUCGAUGUACGACUGCCAAAACACCUGGCCGUUGUUGUUCGCCUGAGGCUAGCGGCACCGCAACACCACUUUCCGUUGAGGUUAGGACCUCUGUACGUUAUCCUUCUGCUGUGCGGUUUCUAGGCUACGUUGUGUCGCACCCGUUGAUGGAACCUGGGGGUACUAGGUUACCAGUGUGGUGUGCAUCGGGGUAUUGAGAUAAGAGAAUGCAGAAGGUAGGAGACAGAGGUAGGAGAGAACGAGGAGCUCUAUUCAGAGUUUUCUGUUGUUCAGAUGAAUAAUGUCCACGCCAAGACAGAGUUGCUGGUUAUUACAGGCGGUCAACUCACACGCCACCACGGGGACGCAGCCCCACACACACAGCCACACGCGACGGAUGGCGCACAGUCACGCCCAUUCCGGGCCCACCAGUCGGACGUUAGGACGCCGCUCCCUUCUUCCAGGCUCCCUUCUUCCUGGCUGCUUCUGUGGACUGCUCGAUGGAGGCAGAGGGGUGGUAACAUUCCCUCCCCCAAGCAGGGGCAAAAGGAAAGCAUUGGCGCAAAGCUUCAAGGUCCUCCCAAGUAGCCAAGUCGCGGGGUAAUCCGGACCAUUCCACGAGAACUUGCUGCACAAAGCGAUGCCCUUUGGUAAUUCCUCUGGUCUGAAGCACCUGGAUAGGAAUAGCAAAUUCUGGGAAAUCAGUAGGCAAUGUGGCCGGAACAGGGCCCUUGUAACCAGCGGCCAAUUUGAGCUGGGAGACAUGCACAACUGGAUGGAUCUUGCUGGCAGCAGGCAGAGCCAAGCGAUAUGCAACCUUGCCGACUGAGUCGGUGAUUUGAUAAGGACCAAAAUAUUUGAAGCUUAACUUGUGGUUAGCACGCGGCAACACAGACGACUGCACAUAGGGCUGAAGUUUCAAAUAAACCCAAUCGCCGACAGCAAACGAGCGUUCGGUCCUGUUCUUAUCAGCCUGACGCUUCAUCCGUUGUUGCGACCGAAUCAGGUGCUGAUGGAUGAGGUCCUGCAUGUGAGACCGUUCCUGGAGCCAAUCUGAUAGUGAAGCAGGGACAGUGUCAUCAACAGAAAUUCCCAGGGAUCGGGGCUUGCGACCGUAGAGGACUUCGAAGGGAGAACACCCCAAAGCUGAAUGGAAACUGGUGUUAUACCAGAAUUCUGCUGUUGGAAGCCAAGAUGACCACUUUUUUGGGCAUGCAUUAACAAAACAGCGGAGGUAGGUUUCGAGGCACUGGUUAACUCGCUCCGUCUGACCGUCGGAUUGGGGGUGGUAGGAAGAACUCAUGCGCAGCUCGGCACCCGCUAGCUUGAAGAAGUGUUGCCAAAACUGACUGGUGAACACAGGGUCCCGGUCAGAAAUCACAGCCACUGGAAAACCAUGGAGGCGAUAGACUUGAGAGACAAAAACUUGAGCCACGGUCAGCGCAGUAUACGGGUGAGACAGUGGAAUGAAAUGAGCAAACUUAGUGAAUUUAUCAACCACCACUAAAAUGCAAUCCGCGGUGCCCGAACGAGGAAGGCCUUCGACAAAAUCCAAUGACACCGUGUGCCAGGCAGACAGCGGAACUUCCAGUGGUUGUAACUUGCCUGGGUAAGCUGACCGGUCUGGUUUUGCCUGCAAACAGACUUGACAUUGCUGAACGAAUGUCUUCACAUAUUGCUUCAUCUGUGUCCAGGAAAAAAGACUCUUUACACGGCUAUAUGUAGCGGGAAUGCCGGAAUGUCCACCAAUCGCUGAGCAAUGGAGAGCUGAGACAAUCUUAUGCUGCAAUGGUUCAGCUGCCCCAAGCCAUAUACGAUUCUUAUACCGGAGCAGACCGACUUUCAAAGUGAAGUGCGGGACAGCAGCAGGAUCAACCGAUAGGCGGGCCAGGAGAGACUGGGCCUCGGCGUCAUGAUCAUAGCUGGCCUGGACGUCCAAUAACCAUUGAGGUACCACGGUGGACAAUGCAAGAAGGUCAGCAGGCACACAACGAGACAAUGCAUCAGCAACACGAUUCUCUAAACCAGGACCGUAAUGAACUUUGUAUUGCAGACCAAGUAACUUGGUGAAAACUUUAUGUUGCCAAGGUGUAUGAAGGCGCUGCUUGUUGAGUUGGGUGAGGCUUUUGUGAUCUGUGAGGAUGACAAACUCCUGGUGUUGGAGAUACGGCCGCCACUGCUGGACAGCGAGGAUCACAGCUAAGUACUCCUUCUCGUAAGUUGACAACCCUCUCAACUUAGGACCAAGUGCCUUGCUAAGAAAUGCUAGGGGGUGACCUUUUUGCAUAAGAACUGCACCGACUCCGAGUGCACUGGCGUCAGUUUCUACGAGAAAAGUGCUACUGAAAUCCGGUAAUGCAAGGACAGGAGCAGAUACUAGGGCCUUUUUCAAUGUGUUGAAAGCAAUAUCAUGCUCACUGGUCCAAAUAAAUAGGCUGCCUUUCUUGAGCAAUGCUGUAAGCGGUUGACAAAUGACCCCGAAAUUUCUGAUAAAUUUCCGGUAGUACCCAGCGAGCCCCAAAAAGCUGCGUAAAUCGCGAAUGCCACUUGGCGUUGGCCACUCAGCGAUAGCUUGGAUCUUCACUGGAUCGGUGGCCACACCUUGUGCAUCAAUAAUAUGGCCAAGAUAAGACACUUGCUGUCUUGCAAAGGAGCACUUAGAUAGCUUGACCUUCCACUGAUCUCGAGCCAAUAAUUCCAGGACCAGCUUCAGAUGACGGGUAUGGUCGUCCAGAGAUGCACUGUAUACAAGAAUGUCAUCGAAGAACACAAGAGCACACUUACGAAGUAGAGGUGCUAGAGUAUGAUUCAUAGCCUUCUGAAAUGUGCCCGGUGCCCCGGUGAGACCAAAUGCCAUAACUCGAAACUCAUAAUGGCCUGUGUGUGUCUGGAAGGCAGUCUUGUGUGACUCUCCUGCUUUGAGUAAGAUCUGGUGGAAGCCCGCUCUGAGAUCUAAUAUGGAAAACCAGGAGGCACCAAACAGCUCGUCAAGUAGCUCAUCGAUGAUGGGAACAGGGUACUUGGAUUUAACUGUAAGGGCAUUUAAAUGUCUGUAAUCCACGCAGAAACGCCAUGAAUUAUCCUUCUUUUUGACCAGCAACACUGGGGAUAAGAAUGCACUGGCACUGUGCUGAAUCAAACCACUCUGCAACAUUUCGGCCACUUGAGACUCCAUCUCAUCUUUCAUUGCUGGUGAAAAUCGAUAGGGUCGGAUGUUGACUGGUCGCGCUCCUUCAAUCAAAGGGAUAGCAUGAUCACACGAUCGAGUCGGGGGCAGGGCAGACGGUGGCUGGAACACAUCCUGAAAGCUGCGAAGCAGUCGCAUCACUGCCUCUGGUAACUGCAAGUCUUCUACCGAGUGCAACUGAGCAGGAUCAGUUGAAACAGGAAGCAAACGUUGAAUUUCCAACACUGUACCGACCGGAACCAAAGGGUUACAACCUUGUAAAAUUACUGUGCUGCCUGCAUAUGGGAUGGACAACCAUUUGUGUUUCCAGUCCACUGUCAUUGGGCUCAGCUGUUCCAGCCAAUCCAUACCCAAUAUUGCGUCAUAAAAGGGUAGAUGGAUCAACUUGAAUGUAGUACAGAAGCUAAGAUCCUGCACUGACCAAGAAGCCUGAGGGAGCUCCACAGAACACUGCAACACAGUGCCAUUUGCUACUCGUACAGACAAUGGUGUAUCCAUAGAAGUGAUGCCAGACAACUUAGAAGUGUGGGCAGAAUUCAGGAAGCUAUGAGAACUACCUGAGUCAAUUAACAUGAGCAGGUCAACCCCUUGCAGGACACCCCGAAUUCUGAAUGAUUUUGAUGGGCGGUGGACCGAGGCAGCUUCUGUAGACAAUAAGAUCAUAAAUUGCUCAGCAGAAUCCUCAAACUCGCCUUCAGAUUCAGGCUGAUCAGUUGACAGCAUCUCCCACAAUUCUUGGACAGCAUGCAACUGCACUGUAUCUGCACAUUUAUGACCCUUGUUCCACUUCUCUGCGCAGUAUUGACAGAGACCCUUAGCACGCCGGUACGCACGAAGAGAUGCCACCUUAGAAUCAACAGUUGUAGGCGCCGUCGUGUUGGUCUUGGUAUAAUCGCCCCCGCCGCCACGAGGCUGCUCCCCACGGUAGGACGAUGUGGGAGUGGCUCUCAGCAGCGGCCGAGGAAACGAAGAAUGUUCACCCCGAACCAACUCCUGCCGACGAGAAGGCUCUGCAGCUUCCUGCAACAAGGCCAAAGAGCAGGCAGUAUCGAGGUCGCCAGGACGUUGUACAAGAAUGACAGACUUGAUAUCAGCACGCAAGCCAUCAAUAAAUCUCAUAGUAUAAUACAAUGGGUCUGUUGUGUGUUCAUAGGUGACAAGCAAAUCCACUAACUCGCAAAAGCGAUCAAUGUAAUCCUGGACAGUGGAGGUCUGUUUGAUGUGGAAUAAUUUUUGGAUAACUAGCUCAUGUUGUUGACGACCAAAUCGGUCAUGGACGAACUGACAGAACUGUCGCUAGGAGAGCGAGGGCAAGCGAGGUUCAAUGGAUUGGAGCCAGCGCGCAGCUACGCCAUGGAAAUGCAUAGUUGCGGCUUUAAUCCAAACGAACUCCUCGGUAGCGUACAUGUCAAAAUAAUCUUCGCAUUGUUUUUGCCAAAGUUUGGGAUUACUGCCAUCGAACACAGGGAAAUUGAUCUUAGGAAGACCACCCAAUCCUCUACUCAGUUCCCCCCGACGAUCUAGCUCCCCAGAAUUGAGAUUAUGAUGAACUGGAAACUCAAACGAAGCAGGGGCGUUAGGUGACCAUGUACCCUUGACCGGGUAGUGGAGAUCGGCCACAGGGGGCCCAAAUCCACAUUCCCGGUGAGAUGAAGCGAAGCGGGGCCCAAAACGUGAGCCGUCAGCUUGACCGCCGGUGGCAGAAGAACACAUCGGCGCCGAUCUGGGCGAGCCGAGGAGGCCGGGCUUGGAGAAGCCGUCGACGCGCGCCCCUUGGGACCACCGGAUCUCCACUUUGGACAGCUCGGCGCGGACGGAAUCCAUGGAAGAUUGUAGGGCGUCGAGGGAGGAUUCCAUCCUGGGGCGCCAAGCGUCGAACGUGUGCUGGGUGGACUCGAGGGAGGUGACGCGCGCUCCGGUAGUGGCCUCCCAGUAGCGGACGCGGUCUGUGAGAUCCGCAUCGACCGCCGAAAGGUGAGCUUCAACGUCCGCGCGGAUGGCGGAGGCGAACUCGUCGGAGUGGCGAGCGAAGUCCGCCGCCUGGGACUCCAGCGCGCCGACGCGGAGUUCCCACUUGGAGUCGAUUGCUGUGAACCGUUUGUCGAGCUCAGCGAGAAUAGCGCGGGUCUGUUGUUCCAGCGCCUGCGUGAGCUGCGCGUCGAUAGGGGACGCCAUGGACGCGAUGGCCGAGGAAUGGAGGAAUCUGAUACCAAUUUGUUAAGGUAUGGGGUAUUGAGAUAAGAGAAUGCAGAAGGUAGGAGACAGAGGUAGGAGAGAAUGAGGAGCUCUAUUCAGAGUUUUCUGUUGUUCAGAUGAAUAAUGUCCACGCCAAGACAGAGUUGCUGGUUAUUACAGGCGGUCAGCUCACACGCCAUGGGGACGCAUCCCCACACACACAGCCACACGCGACGGAUGGCGCACAGUCACGCCCAUUCCAGGCCCACCAGUCGGACGUUAGGACGCCGCUCCCUUCUUCCAGGCUCCCUUCUUCCUGGCUGCUUAUGUGGACUGCUCGAUGGAGGCAGAGGGGUGGUAACAUACUGUGUCAGAACAGCGGGGUGCGCAAUACACUGGGCCGCCGGCUAAGAGAGAGGCAAGGCGAGGAUGUUGGGGUCGCACUGGUGGCUGUCCUCGGCUGAUGCUCCUAUGGCCACCAAUGCAAUGGAGAAGGACGUGGAGUGGAGCUUGCCUGGGCGCGUCGGGGAGGAAGAAUCGGGUCCACCGUUGGAUCGCGUAGGGUUGGUCCAGAUUAGAUGUUGGAAUGGUGCGCCAGGAGUCGUAGGUUUUUGAUCGGAUGGGAGGGGAUGCAGUUGAAUACCGAUCGGAUGGUGGGGGAUGCAGAUGAAGCACCAAAUGACCUGGCUUGAUAUUUUUCAAUCGAACUUUUCUGUCACACCAUUUUAUUGUUUCGGCCUGGUAUUUGUUGAUGUGCUCUAUGGCCUGAAGUCUGGUCCCUUCUAUGGUGUCUUUUGUUACUUGACAAUCAGCUUCAUCCUCCGUCGAAGCUAGGGUUCUUAUUGAACCCAUUCUUGCUUCUUCCGGUGUUAUUGCUUCAUCACCGAACAGAAGCUUAAAUGGAGUAAACCCUGUUGACCUUGAUACAGUGGUGUUGUGGCUCCAAACAACUUUUAUUAAUUCGUCUGGCUACUCCUCUUUCGGCUGAUUGAAGAUUGACUCUAUUAUUCCUAUUAUUAUGAUUCCAUUUGCCCUUUCUACCAACCCAUUUGACUCCGGGUGCCUCACUGAUGCAAAGUGUAUUUUUGUGCCAAUUUGGCUACAAAAAGUUUUGAAAGUUUCAGCAUCGAAUUGAGUUUCGUUAUCAACGGUGAUAGCCUUCGGUACACCGAAGUGACAAACUAUGUUUUGCCAGAAGAAUUUUUGCACUGUGGCCGGAGUUAUUAUAGCCAAAGGCUUUGCUUCAAUCCACUUAGAAAAGUAUUCCACUGUCACCACACCAUAUUUCAGAUUGCCUUGCGCUGGUGGUAGUGGCCCUAACAAAUCUAACCCCCAUCUUUGUAAUGGCCAUGUUGGUUGUAUCAGUUGAGUUAGAGAUGAAGGUUGUUUCUGGUCUCUCGCACAUCUUUGGCAAUUUUCACAUUUCUGAACUAGACCUGCCGCAUCCGAAGCUGCCUUCGGGCAGUAAAAACCUUGUCUGGAAACUUUUCCUAGUAGAGGUCUGAACCCAAUGUGGGCUCCACAUAAGCCUGCAUGUAUCUCCUUCAUUAAUUCCUGUCCUUUAGCUCUGGACAAGCAUUUGAGCAACGGUGAGCAAACUCCAUGCUUGUAUAACUCACCUUCUAUUAUUACAUAAGGUCUUGUUCUUGCUUCCAUUCUCUUGUUAUAAGCUUCAUCGUCUAAAAAACAGUUGCCCUGGAGAAAGGAAACUAUUUCAGUCCUCCAGUCUUCACUAUGUACAGGUGAGAUUGUGAGCACUACUCUUUCCAUGAGCUCGACUGAAGGUGCUUUUAUUGUUUCAAAAAGUACUUCCGAAGAAGCUUCCAACCUUCGGACCACAUCUAAAUACUUUUCAAGCUUCCAACCUUCGGACUGCAUCCAAGUACUAUGUGCCGCUGAUUUAGCUAUUAAAUCUGCAUGCUCAUUCUCUCCCCUUGGGAUAUUUUUUACAGAAAAACCUUCGAAAGAAGCUUCCAACCUUCGGACCGCAUCCAAAUACUUUUCAAGCUUCGCGUCUCUUGCCUUACUGCUUUUAUCCACAUGACCCGAGAUAACUUGCGAAUCAAUUUUGAGGAUUGCCCUUCUAAUUCCCAUUGCCUUCAGCUUCCAAAGCCCCAAAAGAAGAGCUUCGUACUCGACAAUGUUAUUUGUACAGCUGAAGUCUAACUUUAUUGCAUAACAUGUUCUGACUUUUGAAGGUUCAACUAGAACAGCUGCUACCCCUGCACCGAAGGUCCCCCAGGAUCCAUCGCAAAAUAGUCCAAGCUCCGGCAUCUUUUGUUGCUUCUUCAUCCUGAGCCCCUGGCGUCCAAUCAGCAAUGAAGUCUGCUAACGCCUGAGAUUGUAUUAUGGAUUUGUGCACGUAAUCAAUGGUAAAUUCAUUGAGUUCCGUGGCCCAUUUCCUGAUCCUUCCUGUGGCUUCUCUGUUCCUCGUUAUGUCCUUCAGGGGUUGCGAUGAAGGCACUAUUAUGUGAUAUGCUUCAAAGUAAUGCCGAAGCUUUCUGGAGGCCAUCAAUAUAGCAUACAGUACCUUCUCCAACUCUGUGUAAUUUUUCUUUGAAGGGCUGAGUACUUCGGAAAUAAAGUAUACUGGUGCUUGCUUUUUUACCUGGCCCUCUUGUUUCUCUUGUACAAGUGUUGCACUAACCGUAGCAUGGGAAGCAGCCACAUAUAGAAGUAACAGAGCUCCAGAUGAAGGUGGGGUUAGAGUUGUUAGAUCUAUCAAAUACUGCUUCAGCUCUUUGAAGGCUCUCUGUUGUGCUGGACCCCAUUGGAAGACUUCGACUAAUUUCAGUAUUUCAAAAAAGGUAAAUUCCUCUCUGCUGAUCUUGAAAUGAAUCUAUUUAAUGAUGCCAACCUUCCUGCUAAGCGACGAGCCCCCUUUUUUGAAUUUGGUGGCUCCAUCCGAAGGAUAGCUUUGAUCUUGCUUGGGUUAGCUUCGAUGCCUUUUGUUGAUACUAGGCAACCAAGAAACUUGCCCUUCUUCACUCCGAAGACACAUUUUUCUGGAUUUAGCUUGAGACCAGCUUGUCUGAAAUUGGCGAAUGUUUCUUGCAAAUCAGCAACAUGGUUUUCUUGCUUUGUGCUUUUUUACUAUGAUAUCAUCGACAUAUGUCAGCACAUUCCUGCCAAUUUGGGAGUGAAGAACCUUGGCGGUCAUUCUGCUGAAGCUUCCUCCAGCAUUCUUGAGCCCCUCAGGCAUCCAAAGAUAACAAUAUAGGUACCACUAGGAGUUAUGAAGCUUGUCUUUGGCUCAUCCUCCUUCUUCAUCCAGAUUUGAUGAUAACCUGAGUAGUAGUCCAAUAAACUCAUGAGUUCUGAAGAAGCUGCUGCAUCCACAAGGGAAUCUAUUCUUGGUAGUGGGAAUUCAUCCUUCGGACAUGCCUUGUUCAGAUCUGUGAAGUCAAUGCACAUUCUCCUUUUUCCAUUAGCUUUCUUUACCAUGACAGUGUUGGCUAGCCACUCUGGGUAUGUUACUUCUCUAAUGACGUCGGUGCUUAGAAGUCUCUUCACUUCAUUUUGUGCACCUUCGGCCUUAUCAUCGGACAUUUUCUGAAGCCUCUGCUUUCUUGGUCUGAAGGACGGGUCCACAUUGAGCGAGUGCUCAAUAAUGUCUCUAUUGACACCAGAGAGAUCAUUGGUUGUCCAAGCAAAACUAUCUUUAUUGUUAAACAAGAAUCUUAACAAGGUUUUUUCCUGUUCAUCAGACAGUUGGGAUCCCAACAAUACUUUUUGCUCUGCUAUGUCUUCACACAAAAGCAUAGGCUUCGGUUGGUCUGCUGAAGUAGCUUUCUCUCUUUUAUGCUUAUAUGCUGAUAAGCUUCAGCUUCAUCUAUAUUAUGAAUAGGCUUCGAAUCCGUCCAACUCCCUUCAGCUCUCCUGGCAACUUCUUGACUCCCGUGUACAGUAAUGGGCCCUUGUUCCGAAGGUAUCUUCAUGCAAAGAUAUGCUGGAUGAAGUAUUGCUUCGAAGGCAUUAAGCGUCCCUCGACCAAUGAUUGCAUUGUAUAGAUACUCCAUAUCAACGAUGUCAAAGACAACAUGUUCUGUUCUUGUGUUAUGAACAUAGCCGAAGGUGACUGGCAUUGUUAUCUUACCAAGUGCCACAAUAUGUCUUCCUCCGAAGCCACAAAGAGGGUGUGUUGCAUCAUGUAUCGUAUCCUCUGGCUCUUGCAUUUGCCUGAAGGCCUUUGCAAAGAUGAUAUCCGCUGCACUGCAUGUGUCCACUAAGACAUUGUGGACCAGAAAUCCUUUGAUAACACAAGAUAUUACCAUUGCAUCGUUGUGAGGAUAAUCAUUAAGCUGAAGGUCUUCCUGAGAGAAGGUAAUUAGAAUAUGAGACCACUUGGACUUGAUGAAGAGUCCUUUCACCCCCAACAUGUUGUACCCUUCUCUGUGCUUCUUUCUUCUGCUUCUUGUUGGCUGGUUCAGAGCUUGAGCCGCCUGUGAUUGGGAGCACUAGCUUCGUGGCCGAAGGUACUACAGCUUGGUUGUUUUGCAAAGCCAUCGUUGCAACUGUGGAAGUGAGUUCACUAGAGGUGGGCACCAAUGUUGGUCCUUGUUCUCAAAUGCUAUACAUCAAGAACAAGACAACACAAAUGUUAAUAAUUAGGGACCUUUGUCUUUUGAAGCAUUAUCUCCUUUUGGAUAUAAUGAUCUCCAAACGAAGGUUAUGAAGGGCAUACCUUCAUCAUCUCAGUGAACAAAUAUAAAUAAGGGUACAUGAAAUGUAAAAGAAUAUAAAUAAUGAUUAUGAAUCAGUAAGUUAUUUAUAUUCUCAUAUCAUAAACAUGAAUAAAUAUCAACAAUAUUUAUAUUACAAUGGUACCUUCGGCUUGUCAGAAGGUGAAAAUGCGAGAGUGACGUAGCAAUGAUUACAAUCCAGCGUGAACAGUACGGGGGUACUGUUCAUCUAUUUAUAGGCACAGGAUGCAACCCGGACAAAAUUACAUUCAUGUCCCUGAUUACUAACUGUAAUCAUAACGUGAACUGUUAAGGACUAGAUAGUCUUUUCCUCCUUAAGUCGGUAUUGUUCUUCGCCUUUAUUAUAAUGCUAAGCCGAAGCUCCUACAGUCAUAGCUUCGGUUUCUGUCCGCAUCAUUUUUGAGUUGUAUCUUCAUGUCACGUAUACCUUCGUGGUAUUUUGCCGAAGGUGUUUUUGCUUUGAGGACCUUCGGCGAGAAAGAAAACCCCCAACAAUAGGGUUGAAGGAGACUCGUCCUUAGAGACACCUCAUUGGAGACAUAGGUUCUUUGGAACCAAACUCCGAUAAAUCGAAUCACUCGUGUCUUUGUGUGUGUGUGUGUGUGUUUUAAUUUCACUUGCGAUUUGUUCUUCCCUCUCACCCUUUCUAAUUUCUCUUGUGAUUUCGAUUGAGUUUCUCCCAAGUUAAUUUUGCAAUCCAUUUGAGCAAUAAGUGCAAGAGAACUUCUCUCUCUUCUUCAUACUCUGAUUUAAGUAUUUCUCGCUCGAACCUCUAAUAUUGGGAUCUAGUUGUUUUAAGUGUUGAAUUUUUAGGAGUUGCUUAUUCACCACCCCUCUAGGCAACUAUCAUUUAUUUCAUGCAUAAAUGUUAUGGACUAUUGGGAUUCUUGAUGAGAUGCUUUUGUGAAUGCAUGUGUGUGUAUUCAUGUCAUGGUUUGUCAAUAUGGAUGCUCUAGAAAUAGGGCAAAGGCUAGUGAAUUUUUCAUGCAACAUAUUAAUCAUUUGAAUAAGUCUACAACACAUAAUACAAAGUACAUGCUAUGAUGUAGUAUUAUUCACUAGAACUAAAUCAUUUACAUUUAUGAGAUGAAAUAUAGUCUAAGGUGUAUAAAUGUUACACCACAUGUGAAAAAUAAAGCACAACAUGCUAUGCUAGUAGUCACCACCAUCGUAUAGCAACUCAUCGUCCUCAUCCCAAUCCUCUACCAAAACUUGGUUUUUGUUGCCACACAAAACUCCCAUCUGCCUCAUCUGCCUUCUGACUGUAGAAUUCAGCCUCCAGUUGAGCAUCGCCUCAUACAUCUAAGCAUCCUCCUUCACGUCUUGUUGCUUUUGUCUGGUGUCCUCUAAUUUAUCUAGAUCUAUGAGCUCACAAAGUCUAGAAUUGUCCUCCACCAAGUCUUUUCUUCUCUUUGCCUUUCUUCUAUCAAACAUGUCAUACAUCACCUUAGUGGCAUGCUCAUUGCAUCCUUCUUUACCUACAAAGAGAAAUACAAUAAGUUAUGCAUGCACAUUAAAAAAUAGAUUCACAAAACUAUUAUAUAGUCUAAGAACUCACUAGGCAAUCCAACAAUUAGGUCCUUUAUGAGCUACAUUUUAUUUUUAUGCUUCUCUUUCCCUAUCCUCCAUAGCUUUUUGGUCGACAACCAGCUAUUUGUGCAUCUCCCUAACAUACCAAUCAUUUGUACCUAAAUGCAUUAGAUGAAGUAGACCCUGUUCCCAUGCUUGAUGAGGUACUUCUAUUUGUGAACCCUAACAAAAUUGUCCAUAAAUUGAGACCCACACUUUAACUUUUGUUGCGUUGUUUGCUUCCAUCUGAUUGUAACCUCCAAUUCAUGUCUAAAACUAAAAUCCUCCAAGUCACAUUUUCUAGUGGUUUGUUGGAAACAAAUUAGUCACCAUAUGCCAUGGGUUUAUUUUAAAGUUUUUUUAAAGGUAUAACCAACCUAGUCAUAAACAACCAUAUAAUUGCACCAAUAACCUAUUCCAAACUUCAAGGUAACUUGGUUGCAGUGGGCUUCAAUGACACAUUUGCAUAGUACUGGCAGGAUUAUGACAUACUCUUUCUCUUUUGCCAUUCGCUUGGGCUCCGGCCAAUAAGACUUAGGUACAAAGAGCCACUCACAGAAAUGGCAUUUCUAAUAUUGGUGGUACAAAUGAUGUCAGAUUAUAAUAUAUGUGCAAGGAUGUCGGCGUUUCGAGACAGGGGGGUCCCUAAGCCGACGAGUGAGUGUGCUGCGUGCCCCAGCCCAGAUGGGUCGAGCGCGUGGGCGAGCGCGAAGGGGGGAGAGGCGAGGUGGCCGGAGUCGAGCGUGAGAGAGGUGGAAGUCCCGCGGCCUUCGUGUUCGUCCCGCGCCCAGGUCGGGUGCGCUUGCAGUAGGGGGGUUACAAGCGUCCACGCGGGUGAGGGAAGCGAGCGGCCCCAAGAGAGCGCCUGUCCCGUCCUCGGUCCCGCGCGGCCAACCUUCUCUGAGAAGGCCCUGGUCCUUCCUUUUAUAGUCGUAAGGAGAGGAUCCAGGUGUACAAUGGGGGGUGUAGCAGAGCGCUACGUGUCUAGCGGAGGGAGAGCUAGCGCCCUAGGUACAUGCCAAUGUGGCAGCCGGAGAGAUCUGGGCACCCUGCUGGUGUGAUGUCGUGGCUGUCGGAGGUGCGGCGGAGCCUGGCGGAGGGACAGCUGUUGGAGCGGUCGAGUCCCUGCUGACGUCGUUCUGCUUCCGUAAGAGAGCUGGGGGCCGCCGUCGUCAUAGAGCUUGUGGAGCGCCAUCAUUGCCCCUCUGGCGGAGCUGGCCGGAUGGGACGCCGGUCUUGUUCUCCGUGACCCGAGUCGAUUCGGGGUAGGAUGAUGAUGGCGCUUCCUGUUGACGUGGCGGUCUGUGCCCUAGGCAGGGCGACGUGGGGGUUCCUCCGAAGCCGAGGUCGAGUCCGUCUUCUGUUGCCGUGGCCGAGCCCGAGCCAUGGGGUCGGGCGAGGCGGAAGUCGUUCGGCCGAGGCGAAGUCCGAGCCCUGGGGUCGGGCGAGGCGGAGUUUCGUCGUCUUCCGGGUCUUAGCCCGAGUCCGAGCCCUGGGGUCGGGCGGAGCGGAGUUCGCCGUCUUCCGGGUCUUAGCCCGAGUCCGAGCCCUGGGGUCGGGCGGAGCGGAGUUCGCCGUCUUCCGGGUCUUAGCCCGAGUCCGAGCCCUGGGGUCGGGCGGAGCGGAGUUCACCGUCUUCCGGGUCUUAGCCCGAGUCCGAGCCCUGGGGUCGGGCGGAGCGGAGUUCGCCGUCUUCCGGGUCUUAGCCCGAGUCCGAGCCCUGGGGUCGGGCGGAGCGGAGUUCGCCGUCUUCCGGGUCUUAGCCCGAGUCCGAGCCCUGGGGUCGGGCGGAGCGGAGUUCGCCGUCUUCCGGGUCUUAGCCCGAGUCCGAGCCCUGGGGUCGGGCGGAGCGGAGUUCGCCGUGGCGCCUUUGUCAAGACCUGACUGCCGGUCAGACUCACUCUGUCGAGUGGUGCUGCAGUCGGAGUGGCGUAGGCGGCGCUGUCCCUCUGUCAGACUGGUUAGUGGAGCGGUGGAGUGACGGCGGUCACUUCGGCUCUGCCGGGGGCGCGUGUCAGGAUAAAGGUGUCAGGCCACCUUUGCGUUAAAUGCCCCUGCAAUUUGGUCAGUCGGUGUGGCGAUUUAGUCAAGGUUGCUUCUGAGCGAAGCCAAGGCCUCGGGCGAGCCGGUGAUGUGUCCGCCAUAAAAAGGGGGCCUCGGGCGAGACGGAAGUCUCUCGAGGUCGGCUGCCCUUGGCCGAGGCUAGGCUCGGGUGAAGCAUGAUCGAGUCACUCGUGUGGACUGAUCCCUGACUUAAUCGUACCCAUCAGGCCUUUGCAGCUUUAUGCUGAUGGGGGUUACCAGCUGAGAAUUAGGCGUCUUGAGGGUACCCCUAAUUAUGGUCCCCGACAGUAGCCCCCGAGCCUCGAAGGGAGUGUUAGCACUCGCUUGGAGGCUUUUGUCGCACUUUUUUGCAAGGGGACCAGCCUUUCUCGGUUGGCUUUCGUUCCGGCGGGUGCGCGCGAGCGCACCCGCCGGGUGUAGCCCCCGAGGCCUCGGAGGAGUGGUUACACUCCUUCGAGGUCUUAAUACCUCGUGUAACGCUUCGGCUGGCCUGGUCGUUCCCUCAUGCGAACUGGCCGUAGCCCGGGUGCACGGUCGGGGCCCAAGCUCUCGGGCUAGUAUGUUGACGCUGUCAACGAUUUGGCCGGAGCCGGUUUUUGCGAGAGCAGCCCCCGAGCCUCCGCACAGGGCGAGAUGACGAUCAGGGACAGACUCGACUUUUUACAUACGCCCCUACGUCGCCUUUCCGCAAGGAGGAGGGGGGGAGUGCGCCAUGUUACCCUCGAUGGGCACCGAACAUGGUGUCUCCGGUGAGCUGCAAGCGGGUAAUCCGAGUGGACGUCCGUGCCCCGUUCGUUGGGGGUCGGCUAGGGGCCCAGAGGCACGCCCAAAAGUACCUGCGGGUGAUUUGCCGGACCCGGUCCCCUGGCGACGGGGUCCGAGGGCUCGAUGCCUCCCUCCGAUGGGAUUCCGUUACAAGAUCGUUCCCGCUGGUCUCGGAAAUGUCCUAGGGUACCUCGGGAGCGCAGCCCGAGGCUCGGUUAUGUAUCGAACGUACCCCUGGUCAUCCCUCGCUCGGUGUCUGAGGCGACUGUGAACCCUUCGGGGGCCAGCCUUCGAACCCCUGAUCAGUAAUGGGCGCGGAGCCCGAGUAGCCUGAGGCGGCCAUGGAACCCUUCGGGGGGCUAGCCUUCGAACCCCUGACCAGUAGUGGGUGUCGGGCCCACGCGAUCUGAGGCGGCUGUUGAACCCUUCGGAGGGCCAGCCUUCGAACCCCUGAUCAGUAGUGGGGGGCUCGGAGCCCGGUUCCUUCGCGGAGAAGGAUCCCUUUCGGGGCAUCCCCCUUUCUCGGUCCCUGUUGCAAGAGAUAGAGAAAGAGGAAAACGGAAAAGGAUACGAAAUCGGGCGACGUGGCGUACCUUUUCUGACGUGGUUAUUAUGGCGAAGGUGAAGCGUCGCGCGCUCCUCCCAUCAGAGACGCCGCCUGUCCCGCCGCGGAGUAAAUGCGACAGGGCGAGUGGUUGGCGGGGCGGCCGUUGCGCGUGUGCGAUCCGUUCGAGGGACGGGUCACGGGUGCACCGUUUCCACGCCGUGAGAGGAGGCUCUCUUGCUGUCCCGGGAUGGGACGUGAGCCUGGCUGACAACGUGACCGCUGCGCCCGCCCGCCUGCCACCGCUAUUACUGCCGGCCCACUUUCGGUCGCUUUGACCGACGCGCCAGGCUGGCGCUGUUGGGUUGCCUCGAGUCGCGGCAUUGGCUCCGCAACCGAAGAGGCGCGAUGGUGGCACAAGUAGCGGUGCGGUUGCUUGCAUGCAGCAACUGGCGCGCCGGUUGCUUGACGCGUGGGCCUGGGUUCCCAAGCUGACGUGUCAGAAGUUGGAGAAGCGCGUCCACCUGGCGCGGUUGCAUGCCGCCUGCAUGGCUGCCCGCCCCUUCUGCCGUUGGUCUGGGCGAAAAUGGGGGGUCGCUUGUAACCGCUGGACGGUCGUGCGCACCACGCGCGGCGGUUUGGCUUCUUCUGCCCUGAGCCGGCUUGCAUGACAUGCGGGACCCAGCCCCCGAGUCGCAGGGGAGGGCCUUGGAGCGUGUUGGAGAAGACUCAGCCUGUGGCGCCUGGGGGCGCACGUAGGGAGAGUUGCCUUUAAAAGGAGGGAGACUCCUUUCGGAAGGCAACCAUGUCUUCUUCCUCCCUUAAGCGUCGUGUCUUCCCAUCUUCCAAGCCCCCGGAUGGGGGGUAUCCGCCGCCUUUCCGCCUCCUCGUUGGAGGAACGCAACUCCAUGGGAGUUGGUACCUCUCAGCCAUCGUUCGGCUUCAAGGAUUUUCAUCGUGCUGCCCGGCUGCUCCCCUCCGCCGGCGGUCACCUGAGAUGGCGACCUCCGGCUUGAUGGUGGGGGAAAGCGAGCCGGGCUGCGGCCUCUUCCCCUCCCUCAGCCUCAAGGAUUUUCAUCACCAGGGCUGGGGAGGGGAGUGCGCCGAGUUGAGGUCGGCCCCCGCGGGGGCGGCGGCCCGCUCCUUCACUCAGUGAUCGGAAGGAAAGGCGGUCGCCGUCCGUGGCGCUGGCAGCUGCAGCGUGCCUGGCUUUCAGGCGCGAGUGGCUUCGGAGCCGCUCGCGGUGCCGGCAUCCGCCACAGCAGCUUGAAGAGGUUCUGCUGCCGGCGGGAUAGCCGGGGCCGGCCACGGGCUGACCUCCAACUCUACGGCCUUCUGCCCGUCCUUGCCUCACAAGUUUUGGCAUGGGCGGGGGCCUCCUGGCAGCGGCAUCGAGCCUGAGGUCGGCGUUGCCGCUGCUUGGUCCCUCGGAGCAGAAAGCGUCGUCGUCGCCGCUGCUGGAGCAGGUGACGGCGCACCAUUCGUUGGCCUUCCGUUGCUCCACAGGCCUUCCCCCUCGGAGUGGGGUUGUUCGUGCCUGUGGAGGGGGGAACCGGAGUUCCGUUGGUAAUGGCACUUCGGAUGCCAGUGUUUUUUGUUCAUUGUGGCUGUCGGGGCCUGAACAUGUAUGUAAUUUCGGCACGGAGCCGUGUUUUUUCCUCAUUUUCGAGCACUAAGUCUCGCCUGUUGGUUAUCUGAACCGCUUUACCAAGCAUGAGUCGCCUCGUGUUAAGGUGACGGGUGAGGUAUCCGUAUCCUGGAGGCGUAGGAAUCCCUCGGCCCGUUUGGCCUUGUUGUCUGGGGCUCCUCUAGCUUAGUUAAAGAGACCCCUCGGCCGCCCUUCGGUGGACCGAGGCCAGGGGUAGCGAUAUCAGUAUGAACAGAGGCGGAGUUGGCUCGAGAAUGGGAACCUGGUUGGCCGGAGCCUAGUCGCGUUGUCCGUCAGCGGAGCCGACACCAAAGUCGAUCAGUUGAGGCCUCGGGUCGGGCUGGCGCCCUUGGAAGCCGGUUGACCGAGGCCCCGGGGGUAACCGGUUGAGCCGCCUGCUCGGGCCGGAUUCCCGGAGGAGUCCCUGGAUCGCGUCGCCGCCCGAGGCUGGGUCGGACUUUGCUGAGGGCGUCGUCGAUGCCGAGGGUGCUAUGGCUCCCUUCAGCGUGAAGACCCGAGCCUGCAGGAUCAGAUCAUCUUGUAGCGUGUGCUUUCUGCGGCCGCCGAGGCCAGAAAAAACACACCCUCGCCGCGCUUGCGAAGCUGUGCUUUCUUUCCUCUUGUUUCGAGCAUCUGGACUCUGUCGGUAACAGGGAUGUUUGUGUGAGCGAGAGUUGUUUUUCGCGGAAGGGACGAGUGAGGUAUCCGUAUCCCAGAGGCGUGGGAAUCCCUCGGCUCGGUCGGCCUUGCCGCUUACGCGUACUUUCACCCGUCCAUGAGGCCCUGUCCCCGACUCAGUCGAGAAAGCUUGAAGGACUGCUUCGGCAGGAGAACUUCCGAACGUGAAGACUUGUUCGGUCCACGGGGUCGCUUUAUCCGAGCGCAAGUUACUUAUCGCAGAAGGUGAUGAGUGAGGUAUCCGUAUCCCGGAGGCGUAGGAGUCCCUCGGCUCGGUCAGCCUUGGCUACUUACGUGUACUCCGUCGUUUCCAGGAUCCGCUUUUCGAAGUAGUCAAGAAGCACGAAAGAAAUCCUGCUAAAAAGAGGUCCUUUUUCGAGGAAAAAUUCGACGCAGAGGGGGUCUCCCCCCUUUUAGCCCCCGAGGGAGGGUCGGGCUUUGCCGAGGCUAGGCCGACCCUUCCUUGACGACUAAACUUUGCGUAGGUGCGAGGUAUAUGAACAACUUGAAAACAUCUUAAGGGUAGAAGCGACGUAGCUGUUUGAUGUUCCAAGCGUUGUCGUAGAUUUCGCCUUGAUUGUUGGCCAGCUUGUAUGUUCCGGGCUUCAGAACUUUGGCGAUGACGAAUGGCCCUUCCCAGGGGGGCGUGAGCUUGUGCCUCCCUCGGGCGUCUUGCCGCAGCCGGAGCACCAGAUCGCCCACCUGGAGUUCUCGGGACCGGACCCCUCGGGCGUGGUAGCGUCGCAGGGACUGUUGGUACCGCGCCGAGUGUAGUAAGGCCCUGUCCCGAGCUUCCUCCAGCUGGUCCAGCGAUUCCUCUCGGCUAGCUUGGUUGCUUUGUUCGGUGUAGGCCCUCGCCCUCGGGGAGCCGUAUUCCAGGUCAGUGGGCAAGAUAGCUUCAGCCCCGUAGACCAGGAAAAACGGCGUGAAGCCCGUGGCACGACUCGGCGUCGUCCUUAGGCUCCAGACCACCGAGGGGAGUUCCUUCAUCCAUCGCUUGCCGAACUUGUUGAGGUCGUUGUAGAUUCGAGGCUUGAGCCCUUGUAGAAUCAUGCCGUUGGCACGCUCUACUUGCCCAUUUGACAUGGGAUGAGCCACGGCGGCCCAGUCCACCCGGAUAUGGUGAUCCUCGCAAAAAUCCAAGAAUUUUUUGCCGGUGAACUGGGUGCCGUUGUCGGUGAUGAUGGAGUUCGGGACCCCGAAGCGAUGGAUGAUGUUGGUGAAGAAUGCCACCGCCUGCUCGGACCUGAUGCUGUUCAGAGGUCGGACCUCGAUCCACUUGGAGAAUUUGUCGAUGGCGACCAGCAGGUGCGUGUAGCCCCCGGGCGCCUUCUGCAAGGGACCGACGAGGUCCAGACCCCAUACAGCGAAGGGCCAGGUGAUGGGUAUUGUCUGCAGAGCCUGAGCGGGCAGGUGUGUCCGCUUCGCGUAGAAUUGGCACCCUUCGCAGGUGCGGACAAUUCUAGUGGCGUCAGCCACCGCCGUUGGCCAGUAGAAGCCUUGCCGGAAAGCAUUUCCGACAAGGGCUCGGGGCGCUGCGUGAUGGCCGCAAGCCCCCGAGUGUAUUUCUUGCAGCAGUUCCCGACCUUCGGCGAUGGAGAUGCAUCGCUGGAGGAUGCCCGAGGGGCUGCGAUGGUAGAGCUCCUCUUCGUCGCCCAGCAAGACGAAUGACUUGGCGCGUCGCGCUACUCGCCGAGCCUCGGCUUGGUCGAGGGGUAGCUCUCCUCGGCGGAGAUAUUGCAGGUACGGGGCCUGCCAAUCUUGAUCUAGCGUGGCCCCGCUCUGCCCUUCCUCGAUGUUCAGUGCCCCGCCCUCGGGGGCCGAGGGUACCUCGGGCUGUGCCGAGGGUACCUCGGGCUGAGCCGAGGGUACCUCGGGCUCGGGCGCGUCGUCGAGCUUGACGGAGGGUCGAUGCAGAUCCCGGGAGAAGACGUCCGGGGGGACUGUCGUUCGCCCCGGGGCUAUCUUAGCCAGCUCGUCUGCGGUUUCGUUGUAGCGCCGAGCGAUGUGGUUGAGCUCGAGCCCGAAGAACUUGUCUUCUAGGCGCCAAACCUCGUCGCAGUAGGCCUCCAUCUUCGGGUCGCGGCAGUGGGAGUUCUUCAUGACUUGGUCGAUGACGAGCUGCGAAUCACCGCGGGCGUCGAGGCGUCUGACCCCUAGCUCGAUGGCGAUCCGCAAUCCGUUGACCAGAGCUUCGUACUCGGCCACAUUGUUGGACGCUGGGAAAUGGAGGCGCAACACGUAGCGCAAGUGCUUUCCGAGGGGCGAGAUGAAGAGCAGGCCCGCGCCGGCCCCCGUCUUCAUCAGCGACCCGUCGAAAAACAUGGUCCAGAGCUCCGGUUGGAUCGGAGUCGUUGGCAGCUGGGUGUCGACCCAUUCGGCCACGAAAUCCGCCAGCACCUGGGACUUGAUGGCCUUCCGAGGGGCGAACGAGAUCGUUUCGCCCAUGAUUUCCACCGCCCACUUUGCGAUCCUGCCCGAGGCCUCUCGGCACUGGAUGAUCUCCCCCAGGGGGAAGGAUGACACCACAGUUACCGGAUGAGACUCGAAGUAGUGUCGCAGCUUCCGCCUCGUCAGGAUCGCAGCAUACAGCAGCUUUUGAACUUGUGGGUAGCGGAUCUUAGUCUCGGACAGCACUUCGCUGAUGAAGUAGACCGGCCUCUGAACGGGCAAUGCAUGCCCUUCCUCUUGCCUUUCGACCACAAUCGCGGCGCUAACCACCUGAGUGGUCGCGGCGACGUAGACCAAGAGGGCUUCUCCGUCCGCCGGGGGCACCAAGACAGGCGCCUUUGUAAGGAGCGCCUUCAGGUUGCCGAGGGCUUCCUCGGCCUCAGGGGUCCAAGCGAAACACUCGGCCUUCCUUAAGAGGCGGUACAGAGGCAGACCUCUUUCGCCGAGGCGUGAGAUGAAGCGGCUCAAGGCCGCGAGGCAUCCCAUGACCCUCUGUACCCCUUUUAAGUCCUUGAUGGGUCCCAUGCUGGUGAUGGUCGCGAUCUUCUCCAGGUUGGCUUCGAUGCCUCGCUCGGAGACGAUGAACCCUAGGAGCAUGCCUCGGGGGACCCCGAAGACACACUUCUCAGGAUUAAGCUUGACUCCUUUCGCCUUGAGACACCGGAAUGUCACUUCAAGGUCGGAGAGGAGGUCGGAAGCCUUCCUUGUCUUGACUACGAUGUCAUCGACGUAGGCCUCGACUGUGCGACCGAUGUGUUCGCCGAACACAUGGUUCAUGCACCGCUGGUACGUCGCGCCCGCAUUCCUCAAUCCGAACGGCAUGGUGACAUAGCAGUACAUGCCGAACGGCGUGAUGAAAGAAGUCGCGAGCUGGUCGGACUCUUUCAUCCGGAUCUGGUGAUACCCUGAGUAGGCAUCGAGGAAGGACAGGGUUUCGCACCCAGCGGUGGAAUCCACGAUUUGGUCGAUGCGAGGCAGAGGGUAGGGAACCUUCGGGCAUGCUUUGUUGAGACCAGUGUAGUCUACACACAUCCGCCAUUUCCCCCCUUUCUUCCUCACAAGCACAGGGUUGGCAAGCCAUUCGGGAUGGAAUACCUCUUUGAUGAACCCUGCUGCCAUUAGCUUGUGGAUCUCUUCGCCAAUCGCUCUGCGCUUCUCCUCGUCGAAUCGGCACAGAGGCUGCCUGACGGGUCGGGCUCCGGCCCGAAUAUCCAGCGAGUGCUCGGCGACAUCCCUCGGUAUGCCGGGCAUGUCCGAGGGACUCCACGCGAAGACGUCGGCGUUUGCGCGGAGAAAGUCGACGAGCACUGCUUCCUAUUUGGGGUCGAGCCCGGAACCGAUCCGGACCUGCUUGGUGGUGUCGCCACUGGGGUCGAGAGGGACGGCCUUGACCGUCUCCGCUGGCUCGAAGUUGCCGGCGUGGCGCUUCACGUCUGGCACCUCCUUGGAGAGGUUCUCCAGGUCGGCGAUGAGGGCCUCGGACUCGGCGAGGGCCUCGGCGUACUCCACGCACUCCACGUCGCAUUCGAACGCGUGUUUGUACGUGGGGCCGACGGUGAUGACCCCGUUGGGGCCCGACAUCUUGAGCUUCAGGUAGGUGUAGUUGGGGACGGCCAUGAACUUCGCGUAGCAUGGCCUCCCUAGCACGGCGUGGUAGGUUCCUCGGAACCCGACCACCUCGAACGUCAGGGUCUCCCUUCGGAAGUUGGAGGGUGUCCCGAAGCAGAUGGGGAGGUCGAGUCGCCCGAGGGGCUGGACGCGCUUCCCAGGGAUGAUCCCGUGGAAGGGCGCAGCGCCUGCUCGGACGGAGGACAGAUCGACGCGCAGGAGCUUGAGGGUCUCGGCGUAGAUGAUGUUGAGGCAGUUGCCCCCAUCCAUCAGGACCUUGGUGAGCCUGACAUCGCCGACAACGGGGUCGACGACGAGCGGGUAUUUCCCCGGGCUCGGCACAUGAUCGGGGUGGUCGGCCUGGUCGAAAGUGAUGAGCUUGUCGGACCAGUCUAGGUAGACUGGCGCCACCACCUUUACCGAGCAGACCUCCCGGCGCUCUUGCUUGCGGUGCCGAGCCGAGGUAUUCGCCGCAUGCCCUCCAUAGAUCAUGAAGCAGUCGCGGACCUCGGGGAAUUCUCCUGCUAGGUGAUCUUCAUUCUUGUCGUCGUCGCGGGCCCUGCCACCCUCGGCGGGUGGCCCGGCCCUGUGGAAGUGACGCCGAAGCAUAACGCACUCCUCGAGGGUGUGCUUGACGGGCCCCUGAUGGUAGGGGCACGGCUCCUUGAGCAUCUUGUCGAAGAGGUUCGCACCUCCGGGGGGCUUCCGAGGGUUCUUAUACUCGGCGGCGGCGACAAGGUCCGCGUCAGCGGCGUCGCGUUUCGAUUGCGACUUCUUCUUGCCUUUCUUCUUGGCGCCGCGCGGAGCAGACGCCUCGGGAGCCUCUUCCGAUGGGCGGCCCUGGGGCUGCUUGUCUUUUCGGAAGAUAGCCUCGACCGCCUCCUGGCCAGAGGCGAACUUGGUGGCGAUGUCCAUCAGCUCGCUCGCCCUGGUGGGGGUUUUGCGACCCAGCUUGCUCACCAGGUCGCGGCAAGUGGUGCCGGCGAGGAACGCGCCGAUGACAUCCGAGUCGGUGAUGUUGGGCAGCUCGGUGCGCUGCUUCGAGAAUCGCCGGAUAUAGUCCCGGAGCGACUCUCCCGGCUGUUGCCGGCAGCUUCGAAGGUCCCAGGAAUUCCCGGGGCGCACAUAUGUGCCCUGGAAAUUGCCAGCGAAGGCUUGGACCAAGUCGUCCCAGUUGGAGAUCUGCCCCGGAGGCAGGUGCUCCAACCAGGCGCGAGCAGUGUCGGAGAGGAACAGGGGGAGGUUACGGAUGAUGAGGUUGUCGUCGUCCGUUCCACCCAGUUGGCAGGCAAGGCGGUAGUCCGCGAGCCACAGUUCCGGUCUUGUUUCCCCCGAGUACUUUGUGAUAGUAGUCGGGGGUCGGAACCGGGUCGGGAAUGGCGCCCGUCGGAUGGCCCGACUGAAGGCCUGCGGACCGGGUGGUUCGGGCGAGGGACUCCGAUCCUCCCCGCUGUCGUAGCGCCCCCCACGCGUGGGGUGGUAGCCUCGGCGCACCCUUUCGUCGAGGUGAGCCCGACGGUCGCGUCGAUGGUGCUCGUUGCCGAGGUGGCCCGGGGCCGCAGGCGCGGUGUUGCGCGUGCGCCCGGUGUAGACCGAGGCUUCCCGCAUGAAUCGGGAAGUCGCGGCAUGAGGUUCCGAGGGACAACCUUGCCUUCGGGAGGCAGUGCUCUCGGCCCGCCGGGCCGCAGCGCCUUCCAGGAGAUUCUUGAGUUCUCCCUGGAUUCGCCGACCCUCGGUGGUUGACGGCUCCGGCAUCGCGCGGAUGAGCAUUGCUGCGGCUGCCAGGUUCUGACCAACCCCGCUGGAUGCGGGCGGCGGCCUGAUCCUGACAUCGUCGGCGACGCGGUGCUGGAGACCUCGGGGCAGGUGACGUAUUUCUCCGGCCAGGGGUUGGCCCACCCACGCCUGUCCGACGUCCCGACGGAUCGGCUCAAGCGCUCCUGUUCCCUCGUUGAGCCUGGCCUGCGCCUCGCGGACUUGCUCGAGUUGUGGGUCGUAACCCCCCGCCGGAGCGGGGACCACAGCUAGCUCCCGUGGGAUGUCGGCGCGAGGCACCGGCCUAGGGAGAUCACCGUCCUCCGGCAUGCCAAGAUGGUUGCCUUCGGAGGGAUCCCCUAGCUCGAUGUGGAAACAUUCGCGGCUUGGGCCGCAGCUCUCAUCGCCGAGGCUGCGGCUUCCAUCGGAACAGUCGGAUAGGCAGUAGUCACAUGCGGUCAUGAAGUCCCGCACGGCGCUGGGGUUGCCAAGUUCGGAGAAAUCCCAACCGAUGCUGGGAUCGUCAUCUUCCUCGGACCCAGAGGGCCCGUAGGUCGAGACGUCCGUCAGUCGGUCCCAAGGCGACCGCAUACGGAACCUCAGUGGGGUUGCACUCGCCUUAAUGAGAGCGCCCGCCAAAACGAGGUCGUUUGGCGGGUUGAGGCCGAGUCGAAAUGACGCAAGAUGGGAGUUAGUCGUUACCUUUUGGUCGACGAGGAGCGACGUAGUCACAUCGGGGACUGGUUGCACCAUCAUCUCUGGUCCGAGGGCGACGUCCUGCAGGCUUUCCGCGAGCGCGCCGGCGCCGUCUUCUUGCUCGGGGUCAGCGUGCCGCCGGGGGACGGCGCUUGCCUCCGUCUUGAACGCGAGGUCGACGUCCGGCGUGCCUUCCGUCGGGGUGUCGGGGGCGUCGAUUUGCUCGACGGCCGACGAAGCGCGGCCUCCCACCUGGCCUUGACGGCCCCGUCUCCUCCUCCGUUGGCGGGGGAGAGAACGGAGCGAGCCCAAAUGUUGCCCUUCCACCACGCGGGGAAGACGUCGUCGAUUCCGCCGCCGGCUGGCGGGUUGUCGGCCGCCGUUGUCGUAGUCGCGCGGCGGUGGAAGGAGUAUCAUGUCGUAGCUGCCGUCGAAGGACAUGAACUCAAGAGUCCCGAAACGAAGCACCGUCCCGGGGCGGAGAGGUUGCUGGAGACUGCCCAUCUGGAGCUUGACGGGGAGCUGUUCGUCAGCACGCAGCAGGCCCCUACCUGGCGCGCCAACUGUCGGCGUUUCGAGACAGGGGGGUCCCUAAGCCGACGAGUGAGUGUGCUGCGUGCCCCAGCCCAGAUGGGUCGAGCGCGUGGGCGAGCGCAAAGGGGGGAGAGGCGAGGUGGCCGGAGUCGAGCGUGAGAGAGGUGGAAGUCCCGCGGCCUUCGUGUUCGUCCCGCGCCCAGGUCGGGUGCGCUUGCAGUAGGGGGGUUACAAGCGUCCACGCGGGUGAGGGAAGCGAGCGUGUAACGCCCUGAAUUUGGGGGUAGAAUUUUUUCUUCUUUUCUCUCACCAAAUUCGGGCGUUACUCUCUUUUCUCUUUCCCCGUUUGCUCCUUCUUCCCAAUUUCAAACCAGUAUAGCGGCAGGUGUCCGUGUUAUGUAUAAACCAAAACCUAAGUGUCAUGGGUGUUGCAUCAUGCCGAAGCACAUUUCUUUGUCUGAUGUUGAAUGUUCGUCUCGUUCCGUCCCGGAUUUCGGUUCGCGAUUUAAUUCCGUUUAGUGGUCGCGCUCGUCGUGGGUUUUCGAUCCGCAAGGUGGCCCGGCCCAACCUAGCCCAGCCCAGCCGGCCCGGCCCGCCUCGGCCUGCGCGCCCCUGGCGCCCAACCCCCCCCCUGCGCCCCCCAUCCUCUCCCUCUCCCUCAUUUGGAUCUCCCGCGCAACAGCUUCCCUCUCCCUCUUCCACCUCUCUCUCCCCGUGGUGCCCUAGGGUUUGGAGACGGCGAUCACCGGAUUUUGGACCCCGAGGUGAGCUCCCCUCCCCUUCUCUUCUCUCUCUCCCUCCCCCUCCUCUUCUUCCCCACGCGCGCCCUCCCUCUCCCCUGCUCGCGCGCGCCCCUGCCCGCCCCUGCUCGCCGGCGGCGCGGCGCCCCCCGCCCCUGCCCGGCCCCGUGCGGCGGCGCCCGCCCUCCCCCGGCUGCGGCGGCGCUCGCCCGCCCCUCCCCCUCGCCCGCGCGGCGGCGCCCGACCCCGUCCCCGUCCCCACCCCGGCCCGCGCGGCGGCGCCCGACCCCGUCCCCGCCCCUCGUCGGCGGCGCCUCCCGCCCGCCCCCGCCCGGCCCCGCGCGGCCCCCUGCCCGCCCCUCGGCGCGGUGGUGCCCCGGCCCCCCCGCUCGGCCCCCGACCCUGUCCCUCCCCGGCGGCGCCCGCCCGCUCGGCCUCCCCGGCGGCGCUCGGCCGCUCGGCCCUCGGCCCUCGGCGCGGCUCCCCUCCCCCUCCCCCCCCGGCGGCGAUCCCGCCCGCCCCCUGCCCGACCCCGGCCCCGGCGGCGCUCGGCCUCGCCCCCUGCCCCUCCCCGGCCCCGCCCCGGCUCGCCCUCGGCUCGCCCGCUCGGCCCCGGCCGGUUCAACCGCCCCCCUGGCCGGUUCAACCGCCCUGGCCCCAGCUCGCCCGCUCGUUUCCCCGUCCCGGCCUCGCCCGACCGUAUUUUCGCUCGCCCGCGUUCGCGAUGAUUAUUCGUUAAUUAGCGUGUUGCGUCGCGCGCUUCGCCGCGCGACGGAUUUGUCUAAAUUCAGAUUCUAUCUUGUGUUGCGUCGUGCGCUUCGUCGCGCGACGAUCCAUUUUGUUUCAGGUUGUUUAAGGUGUAGCGCCGUGUGUGUAUUCACGCGAUGUUCCACUUUGGACUCAGUUUAGUCGACGUAUGCCGUCGUGCGCUUCGUCGCGCGACGCUUAACGUCUCCUCGUAACUAAGGCGAAGUGUCUCGUUGCGUGCUCGGUCGCGCGACGAUUCGUUAACUUCUUAAUUUGUUUUAGAGAGCUUUGUCGCGCGUCUCGCCGCGCGACCAUCCUUUUAUUUAUCUCCACCUGCUUAUAAUAAUUAGACAUGAAACAUGACUUUACUUUAUGCUAAACAUAGUGUCUACCUUAAAUUCCUUCCAUUAAGCGAGUGGCUAAAUUUAUAAUCAUGUAACGUUAUCGUUUCUCGACUGUCUUUUCCUCUUUCUCUCUUAACCGUACUCGCGAGCCUGCGUAGAACGUCUAUUUACUUAUUGCAUUCUAUUGUAUGGUGUACUGUUCUUUUGUAUUAAAUAUGUGGAUGUAUGUAUGUUUGCGCUCGCAUAGAGAACGAUCCAGUUGAAGAGCCCGAGGAACCCGCAGGAGAAGCCCCUGAGCAGCAGUCGUUUGGUGGAGGCAAGUGUCCCUUGACCUAUCUCUGUCCUAUUCAUUCUUUAAUUCACCUCCCGCUUUACAUAUUUAUGCCUAAGGAUUGACUAGCUUUUGUUAUCCCUGUCCUUGAUUACCUAUUUGGGUUGGAUUAUUACUGUUUAGCUUUAUGCUAUUGCUCAACUCUAAUCAAUGAACAUGAUGAGAUUAUUCAUGAUACGCUGUUUUCCCUUCUCUUAUGAUGAUGUUGUACUUGUGACCUUCAAGGGGGCUCGAGCGGUUUCUCGAGUGCCUCUCCGUAAGGACCUGUUCUAUGGAUGACCGCCCGGGAAAACAGUGCAACCAUGAGGGUGGAAUGGGAUGCCCUUAGCUGAAUAAUUAGAGGAUCCGGGGUGUAGUUCACUUAGCCGUCGUGCCGUCAAUGGGGCUCGGUGUAUGCGGCUCGCUCUGCCAAGUUUGGGUUCGCCCCUUGGGGAGGAGUGCGGUGCAUUUAGGAAACCUAACGGGUGGCUACAGCCCCGGGGAAUCUUUGUAAAGGCUACGUAGUGAUGCCCUGCUAGGCCACCUAGGUAGUGGUCAAUGGGGAGUAGCUCUCUCCGGGCAGAAUGGGAAUCACGGCUUGUGGGUAAAGUGCACAACCUCUGCAGAGUGUUUGGAAACUGAUAUAUCAGCCGUGCUCGCGGUUAUGAGCGGCCAAGGGAGCUCCAAUGAUUAGUGAUACUUGAUCAGAGAUAUUUUGGUACAGGUGGUUAUGAGAUUGAUGGUUUUGGUUAUGACUAUGGUGCUGGUAAGUGGUAUUCUUUCCGUUUGGAAAGGGUACAUUGGGCUAAUAACUUGGGUUAAUGCUAAAACUUGGCUUUCUACUAGUAAAUAAUAAUCUGACCAACUAAAAGCAACUGCUUGACUUAUCCCCACAUAAAGCUAGUCCACUACAGCCAAACAGGAUACUUGCUGAGUAUGUUGAUGUGUACUCACCCUUGCUCUACACACCAAACCCCCCCCCCAGGUUGUCAGCAUUGCAACCACUGCUCAGGCGAAGAUGAAGUGGAAGGCGACUUCCAGGAGUUCCAAGACUACGACGAGUUCUAGGUGUGGGUUAGCGGCAACCCCCAGUCGGCUGCCUGUGAAGGCCGCGUUAUCUACGUUUCUUUUCCGCACUUUGAUUUAUUGUAAGAACUAUAUGGACGUCUCAGACGUAUGAUGUAAUCGACUAUUUCCCUUAUUAAUACUAUUUUGAGCACUGUGUGAUGAUGUCCAUAUUAUGUAACUGCUGUGUACGUGAAUAACUGAUCCUGGCACGUACAUGGUUUGCAUUCGGUUUGCCUUCUAAAACCGGGUGUGACAUAAGUGGUAUCAAAGCCGUGCUGACUGUAGGACCGCUAACCUAGAGUAGAAUGGUCGUUCUAAGGACUAUAGACCUCUGUCUCUUCCUUGACUUUGAUAUCCCUUCAAAAGUUGGUCAUACCGACCAAACCUAUGUUCUACUAUAUAUUAUACCUUGCUAAAAAAUUGUGUUUCAUUCUGAUCCUUCAUUUACUUAUUACUUGCUGGUCAUAUUAAUUCUGUUCUCACCCUUUUGCUUGCGAUGUCCUUUGUAGAUGGCUCGACUUAGACACACUGCACGAAAGUCAGUCAUCCCCUUCUUACCCUCCCGCCUUGCCGAGCGUCCGCUUCGCCGUCCCGUGGCCGGACAGUCCAGCCACUUGGAGAGACUACACCACCGCCUGCGUGAGGAGCAGGAGCGUCGACGACAGGAGCAGCAUGGCUCUUCUUUCUCGCUCCACCAGGAGAUAGAGUCUGUGAGGAGCUGCUCCCCUGUGCUUCCUCUGGAGCCGCCCCCUGCACCACCACUGGGCGUCCUAGCUUCUGGAGUAGCUGCUGGAGGAGACCCAGACGACGGAGAUGGCGACGACAGCUCGAGCCACGACACCGACUUCUCUGCUAACCCUGAGCCGGAAGGAUGGGUUGCUCGACCCAUCACUCGCGACGCCGCUCGCGGGUGUCACUUCCAUGAUGCGCUCGACACCCUGCUACGUCGGGCAUUUGACCGACAUACUUGGUCCGUCGAGUAUCGCUGUGUGGUCUACCAGCAUAGUCGCGGGGUCUACCCGGACCGCUGGGAGGCGACUUGCUUGGUGCGCUGUCCGGAGAACAGUCUCCAGGGUGCUGAGGUCUGUUCAAAGCACUAUUCUAUCUCUGAGCGGGACUCAGCUGAGGCAGCCAUGCAAGAUGCUGCAUGGCGUGCGCUUUCGCACUACUGCUCGGUUUUCGGUGGGGCAGCUGAUGGUCUUGACCUGAAGUAUUACCCCCGCCGUUCAUCUGGCAGCACAGGAGGCGUGAUUGUCUCACCUGUCGGUGAGGGCAAUCCUAGGUUGAGCAGCACAGUCAACCUAGCCGCCGUGCUAAACACGGAGCUGGACCAUGCAUUAGACGAGCUGAGUAGGGCUCGUGCUGAGGUCGCCCUGUUGCGGGCUGAGCGCGCGGAACGUCGUCACUUGGAUGGUGGUUCCCCCGCUCCCGUUGGGAUUCAGCACCCGUACCGCUCACCUCAGCGUGGACACCAGUCUUAUGGCAAUCCCGCCUGCAAGACCAAGAUAACUCUAGAACCAUAGAUCGUUAGAGUUGGAUCUUGUAAUUAAUACGAGAUAUAUAUACGUAGAAGCUUCAGUCUUAGCGUUAGUCUCAGUCUUAGUUAGUCUUAGUUAGACAGGGUAGUUUGCUAUAUCCUGUGCAUUUAUGUUUGUCAUGAUGAACUAUGUUUGGUUUGGAUCUUUGUAAUGAUUGUCACCAGAGUGUGGGUAUCCCCUGCAUUUUGGUUUACCUAUUAUGUUAAUGGAGUUAGUUAUAUAGUCGGGAAACCCAUUAUUCCACUUUCCUCUUUAUCUGAGAAGCUGUGUGGUCUGUGUUGGAGAUCAGUGAAGAUGCUCAUCUGUUCAGUGCUGUUGAAGAAUUCUAUUCUCUUUCCUUAUGCUGCAAGACUUGCCAGAUCAGUUCUGAUGUGUGGUUGCAUUCUGCAGAUGUCAGAGAACAGGCGCAGAGGAGGAAGGCGUGCUCAACAGGAGCGAGCCGCUCAACAGGAUGAGGUGCCCCAGCAGCAGCACCUGCCGCCCCCGCCCCCGAUGUCGAUCGAGCAGAUGUUUCUGAUGCAGACUCAGGCAGUUCAAGCCAUCGGUCAGACUUUGGCCGCCAUUCAGCAGCAGCAGUAGCAACAGCAGCAAGCACCACCCCAGCCUCAGAUGCCUCAGAUGCCCAGAGACAAGCGUGCUGAAUUCAUGAGAGGUCAUCCACCAACGUUUGCUCAUUCUUCUGACCCUAUGGAUGCUGAAGAUUGGCUGCGCACUGUGGAGCGGGAGUUGCAUACCGCUCAGUGCGAUGACAGGGAGAAAGUUCUGUAUGGCCCCCGUCUGUUGAGAGGAGCAGCCCAGUCAUGGUGGGAGUCUUACCUCGCCACCCAUGCCCACCCUGACGCCAUCACUUGGGAGGAAUUCAGGAGUAGCUUUCGUCAGUACCAUGUUCCUGCAGGUCUGAUGACAGUGAAGAAGGAGGAGUUCCUGGCUCUCAAGCAAGGGCCAUUGUCUGUCAGUGAGUACCGGGACAAGUUUCUGCAAUUGUCUCGCUAUGCUCCUGAAGAUGUCAACACCGAUGCCAAGCGGUAGUACCGUUUCCUGAGAGGCUUGGUUGACCCUCUGCAGUACCAACUGAUGAAUCACACCUUCCCGACAUUCCAGCACCUGAUUGAUAGAGCAAUCAUGACGGAGAGAAAGCGUAAGGAGAUGGAAGAUCGUAAGCGCAAGAUCAGUGGACCCCAGCCUGGAAGCAGCAGCCGUCCUCGUUUCUCAGGCAAUCAACCUCAGCAGUUCAGGCAGAACCAGCGUCCACCUCAGCAGCAUCAGCAGUUCCAAAAGCAGUAUCCUCAGAAUCAGUACCAGAACCGUCAGAGCAAUCAGUCAGGAGGUCAGUUUCAGAAGCAGAAUCAGCAAGCACCUCGUCUUCCUGCCCCAGCAAACCAGCAGAACAGUCAGGCAGCACCAGCUCAGGUUGGAAACAGAGCAUGUUUCCACUGUGGAGAGCAGGGCCAUUGGGUGAUGCAAUGUCCGAAGAAGGCAGCCCAGCAGCAGUCAGGCCCCAAUGCCCCAGCAAAGCAGAAUGUGUCUCAGCCUGGAGCAGGCAACCGCCCUCAACAGCGCUAUAAUCAUGGAAGAUUGAAUCACUUGGAGGCUGAAGCAGUUCAGGAGACCCCCGGCAUGAUAGUAGGUAUGUUCCCAGUCGACUCCCAUAUUGCAGAAGUGUUAUUUGAUACUGGAGCAACGCAUUCUUUCAUUACUGCAUCAUGGGUAGAAGCACAUAAUCUUCCAAUUACUACCAUGUCAACCCCCAUUCAAAUUGACUCAGCCGGUGGUAGAAUUCGAGCCGAUAGCAUUUGUUUGAAUAUAAGUGUGGAAAUAAGGGGGAUAGCGUUUCCCGCCAACCUUAUAGUAAUGGGUACUCAGGGAAUAGACGUCAUCCUAGGGAUGAAUUGGCUAGAUAAGUAUCAGGCAGUUAUCAGUUGUGAUAAGAGGACCAUCAAGUUGGUGUCCCCACUAGGAGAGGAAGUGGUGACCGAGUUAGUCCCGCCUGAGCCAAAGAAAGGAAGUUGUUAUCAGAUAGCUGUUGAUAGCAGUAAAGCAGACCCAAUUGAGAGUAUCAAGGUUGUGUCUGAGUUCCCAGAUGUGUUUCCAAAGGACUUACCGGGUAUGCCACCAGAGCGGAAAGUUGAGUUUGCCAUAGAGCUUCUUCCUGGAACCGCCCCUAUCUUUAAGAGAGCUUACAGAAUAUCCGGACCAGAGUUGGUUGAGCUUAAGAAGCAGAUUGAUGAGCUGUCAGAGAAAGGUUACAUUCGGCCAAGCACCUCGCCUUGGGCCGCCCCUGUCUUAUUUGUGGAAAAGAAAGAUGGCACCAAGAGGAUGUGUAUCGAUUACCGAGCUUUGAAUGAGGUCACGAUCAAGAACAAGUAUCCCUUGCCCAGAAUAGAAGAUCUGUUCGACCAGUUGAGUUGGAACCUACCUUGGAGCGCGAAAUCAAAGAAGCGCAGAAGAAUGAUGAAAAGAUCAGUGAGAUUCGGCGACUGAUUCUAGAUGGCAAAGGCAAAGAUUUUCGAGAAGAUGCAGAAAGCGUGAUAUGGUUCAAAGACCGCUUGUGUGUUCCCAAUGUCCAGUCUAUUCGGGAGUUGAUUCUUAAGGAAGCUCAUGAGACAGCCUAUUCGAUUCACCCUGGCAGUGAGAAGAUGUAUCAGGAUCUGAAGAAGAAAUUCUGGUGGUACGGAAUGAAGAGGGAAAUCGCAGAGCAUGUGGCUAUGUGCGAUAGUUGUCGAAGAAUUAAGGCAGAGCACCAGAGACCUGCUGGAUUGUUGCAACCGUUGCAGAUCCCUCAGUGGAAAUGGGAUGAAAUCGGUAUGGAUUUCAUAGUCGGAUUGCCUCGCACUCGAGCCGGCUACGAUUCCAUUUGGGUAGUAGUGGACCGCUUGACCAAGUCAGCCCACUUCAUACCUGUCAAGACCAACUAUAGCAGUGCCGUAUUGGCCGAAUUGUAUAUGUCUCGGAUCGUUUGUCUUCAUGGUGUGCCAAAGAAGAUAGUGUCAGACAGAGGAACACAGUUCACCUCUCAUUUCUGGCAGCAGUUGCAUGAAGCCUUGGGCACGCAUCUGAAUUUCAGUUCAGCUUAUCACCCGCAGACAGAUGGCCAGACCGAAAGGACCAACCAAGUUCUUGAAGACAUGUUGAGAGCCUGUGCGUUGCAAGAUCAGUCCGGAUGGGAUAAGCGAUUGCCUUAUGCAGAGUUUUCCUAUAACAACAGUUACCAGGCCAGUUUGAAGAUGUCACCAUUUCAGGCGCUCUAUGGAAGGAGUUGCAGAACUCCGUUGCAAUGGGAUCAGCCUGGAGAAAAGCAAGUGUUUGGGCCAGACAUUUUGCUGGAAGCCGAAGAGAACAUCAAGAUGGUCCGAGAGAAUCUGAAGAUAGCGCAAUCGAGGCAGCGAAGCUAUGCAGACACAAGAAGAAGAGAGCUGAGUUUCGAAGUCGGAGACUUUGUCUAUCUGAAAGUGUCACCGAUCAGAGGAGUCAGAAGAUUUGGAGUGAAAGGCAAGCUAGCACCCCGCUACAUUGGUCCGUAUCAGAUUCUUGCAAGACGAGGAGAAGUGGCCUAUCAGCUCAGUUUGCCAGAGAGUUUGUCUGCUGUGCAUAAUGUCUUUCAUGUGUCUCAGUUGAAGAAGUGCUUGCGUGUGCCAGAAGAGCAGUUGCCAGUGGAAGGUCUUGAGGUCCAGGAGGACUUGACCUACGUUGAGAAGCCAGUGCAAAUCCUUGAGGUUGCAGACCGAGUCACCCGAAGGAAGACCAUCAGAAUGUGCAAAGUCAGAUGGGAUCAUCACUCUGAGGAAGAAGCAACCUGGGAGCGUGAAGAUGAUCUGUUGGCUAAAUACCCUGAGCUCUUUGCUAGCCAACCCUGAAUCUCGAGGGCGAGAUUCUUUUAAGGGGGAUAGGUUUGUAACGCCCUGAAUUUGGGGGUAGAAUUUUUUCUUCUUUUCUCUCACCAAAUUCGGGCGUUACUCUCUUUUCUCUUUCCCCGUUUGCUCCUUCUUCCCAAUUUCAAACCAGUAUAGCGGCAGGUGUCCGUGUUAUGUAUAAACCAAAACCUAAGUGUCAUGGGUGUUGCAUCAUGCCGAAGCACAUUUCUUUGUCUGAUGUUGAAUGUUCGUCUCGUUCCGUCCCGGAUUUCGGUUCGCGAUUUAAUUCCGUUUAGUGGUCGCGCUCGUCGUGGGUUUUCGAUCCGCGAGGUGGCCCGGCCCAACCUAGCCCAGCCCAGUCGGCCCGGCCCGCCUCGGCCUGCGCGCCCCUGGCGCCCAACCCCCCCCUGCGCCCCCCAUCCUCUCCCUCUCCCUCAUUUGGAUCUCCCGCGCAACAGCUUCCCUCUCCCUCUUCCACCUCUCUCUCCCCGUGGUGCCCUAGGGUUUGGAGACGGCGAUCACCGGAUUUUGGACCCCGAGGUGAGCUCCCCUCCCCUUCUCUUCUCUCUCUCCCUCCCCCUCCUCUUCUUCCCCACGCGCGCCCUCCCUCUCCCCUGCUCGCGCGCGCCCCUGCCCGCCCUUGCUCGCCGGCGGCGCGGCGCCCCCCGCCCCUGCCCGGCCCCGUGCAGCGGCGCCCGCCCUCCCCCGGCUGCGGCGGCGCUCGCCCGCCCCUCCCCCUCGCCCGCGCGGCGGCGCCCGACCCCGUCCCCGUCCCCACCCCGGCCCGCGCGGCGGCGCCCGACCCCGUCCCCGCCCCUCGUCGGCGACGCCUCCCGCCCGCCCCCGCCCGGCCCCGCGCGGCCCCCUGCCCGCCCCUCGGCGCGGUGGUGCCCCGGCCCCCCGCUCGGCCCCCGACCCUGUCCCUCCCCGGCGGCGCCCGCCCGCUCGGCCUCCCUGGCGGCGCUCGGCCGCUCGGCCCUCGGCCCUCGGCGCGGCUCCCCUCCCCCUCCCCCCCCGGCGGCGAUCCCGCCCGCCCCCUGCCCGACCCCGGCCCCGGCGGCGCUCGGCCUCGCCCCCUGCCCCUCCCCGGCCCCGCCCCGGCUCGCCCUCGGCUCGCCCGCUCGGCCCCGGCCGGUUCAACCGCCCUGGCCCCAGCUCGCCCGCUCGUUUCCCCGUCCCGGUCUCGCCCGACCGUAUUUUCGCUCGCCCGCGUUCGCGAUGAUUAUUCGUUAAUUAGCGUGUUGCGUCGCGCGCUUCGCCGCGCGACGGAUUUGUCUAAAUUCAGAUUCUAUCUUGUGUUGCGUCGUGCGCUUCGUCGCGCGAGGAUCCAUUUUGUUUCAGGUUGUUUAAGGUGUAGCCCCGUGUGUGUAUUCACGCGAUGUUCCACUUUGGACUCAGUUUAGUCGACGUAUGCCGUCGUGCGCUUCGUCGCGCGACGCUUAACGUCUCCUCGUAACUAAGGCGAAGUGUCUCGUUGCGUGCUCGGUCGCGCGACGAUUCGUUAACUUCUUAAUUUGUUUUAGAGAGCUUUGUCGCGCGUCUCGCCGCGCGACCAUCCUUUUAUUUAUCUCCACCUGCUUAUAAUAAUUAGACAUGAAACAUGACUUUACUUUAUGCUAAACAUAGUGUCUACCUUAAAUUCCUUCCAUUAAGCGAGUGGCUAAAUUUAUAAUCAUGUAACGUUAUCGUUUCUCGACUGUCUUUUCCUCUUUCUCUCUUAACCGUACUCGCGAGCCUGCGUAGAACGUCUGUUUACUUAUUGCAUUCUAUUGUAUGGUGUACUGUUCUUUUGUAUUAAAUAUGUGGAUGUAUGUAUGUUUGCGCUCGCAUAGAGAACGAUCCAGUUGAAGAGCCCGAGGAACCCGCAGGAGAAGCCCCUGAGCAGCAGUCGUUUGGUGGAGGCAAGUGUCCCUUGACCUAUCUCUGUCCUAUUCAUUCUUUAAUUCACCUCCCGCUUUACAUAUUUAUGCCUAAGGAUUGACUAGCUUUUGUUAUCCCUGUCCUUGAUUACCUAUUUGGGUUGGAUUAUUACUGUUUAGCUUUAUGCUAUUGCUCAACUCUAAUCAAUGAACAUGAUGAGAUUAUUCAUGAUACGCUGUUUUCCCUUCUCUUAUGAUGAUGUUGUACUUGUGACCUUCAAGGGGGCUCGAGCGGUUUCUCGAGUGCCUCUCCGUAAGGACCUGUUCUAUGGAUGACCGCCCGGGAAAACAGUGCAACCAUGAGGGUGGAAUGGGAUGCCCUUAGCUGAAUAAUUAGAGGAUCCGGGGUGUAGUUCACUUAGCCGUCGUGCCGUCAAUGGGGCUCGGUGUAUGCGGCUCGCUCUGCCAAGUUUGGGUUCGCCCCUUGGGGAGGAGUGCGGUGCAUUUAGGAAACCUAACGGGUGGCUACAGCCCCGGGGAAUCUUUGUAAAGGCUACGUAGUGAUGCCCUGCUAGGCCACCUAGGUAGUGGUCAAUGGGGAGUAGCUCUCUCCGGGCAGAAUGGGAAUCACGGCUUGUGGGUAAAGUGCACAACCUCUGCAGAGUGUUUGGAAACUGAUAUAUCAGCCGUGCUCGCGGUUAUGAGCGGCCAAGGGAGCUCCAAUGAUUAGUGAUACUUGAUCAGAGAUAUUUUGGUACAGGUGGUUAUGAGAUUGAUGGUUUUGGUUAUGACUAUGGUGCUGGUAAGUGGUAUUCUUUCCGUUUGGAAAGGGUACAUUGGGCUAAUAACUUGGGUUAAUGAUAAAACUUGGCUUUCUACUAGUAAAUAAUAAUCUGACCAACUAAAAGCAACUGCUUGACUUAUCCCCACAUAAAGCUAGUCCACUACAGCCAAACAGGAUACUUGCUGAGUAUGUUGAUGUGUACUCACCCUUGCUCUACACACCAAACCCCCCCCAGGUUGUCAGCAUUGCAACCACUGCUCAGGCGAAGAUGAAGUGGAAGGCGACUUCCAGGAGUUCCAAGACUACGACGAGUUCUAGGUGUGGGUUAGCGGCAACCCCCAGUCGGCUGCCUGUGAAGGCCGCGUUAUCUACGUUUCUUUUCCGCACUUUGAUUUAUUGUAAGAACUAUAUGGACGUCUCAGACGUAUGAUGUAAUUGACUAUUUCCCUUAUUAAUACU